Molecule: ribosomal RNA, 440 nt
Filed under: uncultured bacterium
Lineage: Bacteria
Description: partial 16S ribosomal RNA
Rfam family: Bacterial small subunit ribosomal RNA
Source: RNAcentral
CCUACGGGGGACAGCAGUGGGGAAUAUUGCACAAUGGGGGAAACCCUGAUGCAGCGACGCCGCGUGAAGGAAGAAGUAUUUCGGUAUGUAAACUUCUAUCAGCAGGGAAGAAAAUGACGGUACCUGACUAAGAAGCCCCGGCUAACUACGUGCCAGCAGCCGCGGUAAUACGUAGGGGGCAAGCGUUAACCGGAUUGACUGGGUGUAAAGGGAGAGUCGGAGGCGAUGCAAGUCAGAAGUGAAAGCCCGGGGCUCAACUCCGGGACUGCUUUUGAAACUGUAUGGCUAGAUUGCAUGAGAGGCAAGUGGAAUUCCUGGUGUAGCGGUGAAAUGCGUAGAGAUUAGGAGGAACACCAGUGGCGAAGGCGGCUUGCUGGACUGUAAAUGACGCUGAGGCUCGAAAGCGUGGGGAGCAAACAGGAUUAGAUACCCUUGUAGUC